RNAcentral lists this ribosomal RNA (820 nucleotides) under uncultured Brevundimonas sp. RNAcentral describes it as "bacterial SSU rRNA". It matches the Rfam family "Bacterial small subunit ribosomal RNA", at positions 43 to 873 of the family's 1533-position model. Lineage: Bacteria; Pseudomonadati; Pseudomonadota; Alphaproteobacteria; Caulobacterales; Caulobacteraceae. The record is from RNAcentral.
CGGGGGAGCUACCAUGCAGUCGAACGAACUCUUCGGAGUUAGUGGCGGACGGGUGAGUAACACGUGGGAACGUGCCUUUUGGUUCGGAAUAACUCAGGGAAACUUGUGCUAAUACCGAAUGUGCCCUUCGGGGGAAAGAUUUAUCGCCAUUAGAGCGGCCCGCGUCUGAUUAGCUAGUUGGUGAGGUAACGGCUCACCAAGGCGACGAUCAGUAGCUGGUCUGAGAGGAUGACCAGCCACACUGGGACUGAGACACGGCCCAGACUCCUACGGGAGGCAGCAGUGGGGAAUCUUGCGCAAUGGGCGAAAGCCUGACGCAGCCAUGCCGCGUGAAUGAUGAAGGUCUUAGGAUUGUAAAAUUCUUUCACCGGGGACGAUAAUGACGGUACCCGGAGAAGAAGCCCCGGCUAACUUCGUGCCAGCAGCCGCGGUAAUACGUAGGUGGCAAGCGUUGUCCGGAAUUAUUGGGCGUAAAGCGCGCGCAGGCGGGAUAUCAAGUCUGUCUUAAAAGUGCGAGGCUCAACCUCGUGAGGGGACGGAAACUGGUAUUCUUGAGUGUCGGAGAGGAAAGUGGAAUUCCAAGUGUAGCGGUGAAAUGCGUAGAGAUUUGGAAGAACACCAGUGGCGAAGGCGACUUUCUGGACGAUGUCUGACGCUGAGGCGCGAAAGCUAGGGGAGCGAACGGGAUUAGAUACCCCGGUAGUCCUAGCCCGUAAACGAUGGGUACUACGUGUAGGGGGGUAUCGACCCCUUCUUGUGCUGGGAGUUCACGCCAUAAGUAACCCGCCCUGGGUAGUAUCGGGCCCCCUGGGUGAUUACU